AUAUAUUUCUUUUGAAAGUAUUUUGAUAGUAUUUUAGUGGAUUCAUGGACAGUAAGUAUAAACCAUAUAAUGUGGUACAAAUACUUCAGGAAAACAUGGUUAGCUGUUGAUUAAAGAGUGCUAAAUUAUGCGUUGUCUAAUGUACACUUUAUUGCGCUAUUUAGCACUYUUUGGUUAGCAUGUUUGCACUCAACCAUGGACAUUUUGCUUACAUGUACCAUAUUAUUAACUAUUGACAAUGCAAACAGUCGAAAUAGUACUUAAUAUUGAACGGUUUAUAAGAAUCUAUGCAGCUAGAUGCAAACUUAGCCUGUGUACAGACCGAAAUUUUCUCAAAGAAAAUUUCGGUCUAUACACAGGCUGUGCAAACUAUGCAUAAUGCAUAAUAUGCUUCAUCUUGUGCAUCCAUGCGGCUGCCAGGUAUUUCUCUUUUCCACAAAUGUUCAAUUUUUCAUCUUAAUAAUACAUAAUCAAACAAGUUUUAUAUAAACAAUGAAUUCUGUAAAAUAUGGAAUUGUGUACUAUUUAGAAUAUAGAAUAAAAUCUGUGGUAUUGGUCUCGGUGCUAAAAACCUAACAAUGCGUGCUUGGUCUCAUUGGAUCAUCAGCUUGAGCUAUGGCAAUGACUUGCUGUUGAACUUGUGUCGACUGCCUUGAAAAGUAAAUGUAAUAAUAGCGAUGUGGACGUUGAAAAAGAGUUUGUGUUAUUAAUACGUUUGUAAGAGUGUCAAUUUCCUCAAUUCUACUGUACUUCACACAAAAUUCGAUCACAUCAAACCUCGUCCACAUUUAGAAAACCAGCAGAGCUGUCCAGAUCAUCACUACGAUCACACAGUUUCAAACACAGGUGGCACUAGUUCACACAUUGAAAAUUCAGACUCAAUGCAAGUGUAAUAAAAUGAAAGGAAGUUCCAUUUCUUACGUUUGUUUUUGCGUUUGUACUGUGUUGGUAUUUCUCAGGUUGUGAACCAGUAGACAACGCGUCAGCACAUUUCAUMGUACUACACAUAACGUUGAAAUACACUUCGCUACACUAAAUCACAUUUUUCAAAACUGAAGAAUACUUUGGUGAAUGAAGUGCGGUGGAAUCCAAUGGCGAUUUGAAGGAGUAAACAAAUUCAAAGACACUCAUACAACCAUGCAGUCAUAUGUCUACUAAUAUAUAACGCUAUAAUUUAUUGAAAAGAUUCGUUAAUUGCAUUUAAAGCUAAAUAUAGUAUUAUUUAUUUAUGUGCAUUGUGUAACUAUUACUUUUAAUAUGAGAAAUAAUGCUUUACGGUGGCACAGGUAUCUGUAGUAAAUUAAUCAAAUUUGUUUUCUUGAUUUAUACUUGAUUAUAGUUUUGCGUUAAAAGCAGCUUCUUGGAGUUGAUUAAUGGUGUAAAUUAGGUCUGCUGAAUUUAAAUAAAAGGGUUUUGUUUGGGAUU
Long non-coding RNA from Exaiptasia diaphana, 1425 nucleotides. RefSeq lists it as uncharacterized. The record is from RefSeq and is a predicted model, not a curated record. Lineage: Eukaryota; Metazoa; Cnidaria; Anthozoa; Actiniaria; Aiptasiidae. The transcript is spliced from 2 exons.